UACGUAGGGUGCAAGCGUUGUCCGGAAUUAUUGGGCGUAAAGCGCGUGUAGGCGGCGGCGUUAGUCGGAUGUGAAAUCCCUCAGCUCAACUGAGGAAGUGCAUUCGAUACUGCGUCGCUUGAAUGUCGGAGGGGAUGGCGGAAUUCCCGGUGUAGAGGUGAAAUUCGUAGAUAUCGGGAGGAACACCUGUGGCGAAGGCGGCCAUCUGGACGACGAUUGACGCUGAGACGCGAAAGCGUGGGUAGCAAACAGG
RNAcentral lists this ribosomal RNA (253 nucleotides) under uncultured bacterium. RNAcentral describes it as "partial 16S ribosomal RNA". It matches the Rfam family "Bacterial small subunit ribosomal RNA", at positions 524 to 776 of the family's 1533-position model. The record is from RNAcentral.